Triticum dicoccoides is the source of this 539-nucleotide long non-coding RNA. RefSeq lists it as uncharacterized. The record is from RefSeq and is a predicted model, not a curated record. NCBI's taxonomy places the organism in Eukaryota, Viridiplantae, Streptophyta, Magnoliopsida, Poales, Poaceae. The transcript is spliced from 4 exons.
UGCUCGCUGUUGGUUGUAACAUCAUGGGCGGUGGUGAGGCAUCAGCACCGGAGACGCAGGUCCGCGGCGGAGCGGGAUAGGUGACAAGGACGACCUGUGACUCCUCAUGGCAAAGGUCUUGCUCGCUGUUGGUUCUAACAUCAUCGUCUACCAGACAGAUGCUGGCCAGUUAAGGUUUGUUGCAAAUAAUAGUGGAUGUUGGGCUGCCUCCACACCGCAAGAGAUGGAGAUGGUUGACGUCGGAACCGGUGGUUGAGGUCGAGUACGCCUCGUUGUUGUCGCCGUCUACAUCCGUUACGUGUGAGGAACUUGCUGAUGCUGGCACCAGAUUCAGCAGGGAGGAUAUCUAUGAGGCCUUUCAUUCUUGUUGGAUUCCCACACAUCUUGCAAGUUCAAGGGGGUGAGCUCAGCUGAAUGCGCGGUGACGUAUUUUUUUUGUUUACUUUUGCAUAUUGCUGCUUUGAUUAAUAUUCCACCCAAAGAAUAAUGUUUUUAUAUCUCUAAUUUCUACUUUGGAGCAAUGGAUAGUUGUGCUUUAG